Molecule: ribosomal RNA, 291 nt
Filed under: uncultured prokaryote
Description: partial 16S ribosomal RNA
Rfam family: Bacterial small subunit ribosomal RNA
Source: RNAcentral
GUGUCAGCAGCCGCGGUAAUACGUAGGUGCAAGCGUUGUCCGGAAUUAUUGGGCGUAAAGGGCUCGCAGGCGGUUUCUCAAGUCUGAUGUGAAAGGCCCCGGCUCAACCGGGGAGGGUCAUUGGAAACUGGGGAACUUGAGUGCAGAAGAGGAGAGUGGAAUUCCACGUGUAGCGGUGAAUUGCGUAGAGAUGUGGAGGAACACCAGUGGCGAAGGCGACUCUCUGGUCUGUAACUGACGCUGAGGAGCGAAAGCGUGGGGAGCGAACAGGAUUAGAUACCCCCGUAGUCC